This 305-nucleotide ribosomal RNA is filed under the name uncultured bacterium. RNAcentral describes it as "bacterial SSU rRNA". It matches the Rfam family "Bacterial small subunit ribosomal RNA", at positions 335 to 659 of the family's 1533-position model. The record is from RNAcentral.
AGUCUCGGGAAGCAGCAGUAGGGAAUAUUGCUCAAUGGGGGAAACCCUGAAGCAGCAACGCCGCGUGGAGGAUAAAGGUUUUAGGAUUGUAAACUCCUUUUGUUAGAGAAGAUUAUGACGAUAUCUAACGAAUAAGCACCGGCUAACUCCGUGCCAGCAGCCGCGGUAAUACGGAGGGUGCAAGCGUUACUCGGAAUCACUGGGCGUAAAGAGCGCGUAGGCGGGAUAGCAAGUCAGAUGUGAAAUCCUAUGGCUUAACCAUAGAACUGCAUUUGAAACUGUUAUUCUAGAGUAUGGGAGAGGUA